Molecule: ribosomal RNA, 813 nt
Filed under: uncultured bacterium
Lineage: Bacteria
Description: bacterial SSU rRNA
Rfam family: Bacterial small subunit ribosomal RNA
Source: RNAcentral
GUAAGGACGCGUAGGCGGGAAGCCAAGUCUGAUGUGAAAUCCUAUGGAGAACCAUAGAACUGCAUUGGAAACUGGUUACCUAGAGUAUGGGAGGGGGAGAUGGAAUUAGUGGUGUAGGGGUAAAAUCCGUAGAUAUCACUAGGAAUACCGAAAGCGAAGGCGAUCUCCUGGAACAAUACUGACGCUAAGGCGUGAAAGCGUGGGGAGCAAACGGGAUUAGAUACCCCGGUAGUCCACGCCCUAAACGAUGUUCACUAGUCGUCGGAAUGCUAGUCAUUUCGGUGAUGCACUUAACAGAUUAAGUGAACCGCCUGGGGAGUACGGUCGCAAGAUUAAAACUCAAAGGAAUAGACGGGGACCCGCACAAGUGGUGGAGCAUGUGGUUUAAUUCGAAGAUACGCGAAGAACCUUACCUAGCCUUGACAUUGAAGAAACACUUUAGAGAUAGAGUGGUGCCCUUCGGGGAAUCUGAAAACAGGUGCUGCACGGCUGUCGUCAGCUCGUGUCGUGAGAUGUUGGGUUAAGUCCCGCAACGAGCGCAACCCUCGUCCUUAGUUGCCAGCAGGUUAAGCUGGGCACUUUAAGGAGACUGCCUUCGCAAGGAGGAGGAAGGUGAGGACGACGUCAAGUCAUCAUGGCCCUUAUGGCUAGGGCUACACACGUGCUACAAUGGGGCGUACAGAGAGUUGCGAUACCGCGAGGUGGAGCCAAUCUCAUAAAGCGUCUCUCAGUUCGGAUUGGAGUCUGCAACUCGACUCCAUGAAGCUGGAAUCACUAGUAAUCGUAGAUCAGCAAUGCUACGGUGAAUACGUU